ACUUCACUGGACCGGCAAGGUCUUCUGGUCGCGCCGGAACUGGGAGUCCACGAUCCUCGAACAGGUGCCGUUCGAACGGAUCGUGUGGCGC
RNAcentral lists this transfer RNA (91 nucleotides) under Rhodococcus gordoniae. RNAcentral's name for it is "tRNA-Ala(cgc)". Lineage: Bacteria; Bacillati; Actinomycetota; Actinomycetes; Mycobacteriales; Nocardiaceae. The record is from RNAcentral.